GACGAACGCUGGCGGCGUGCUUAACACAUGCAAGUCGAACGGUGAACUCCGCUUGCGGGGGGAUCAGUGGCGAACGGGUGAGUAACACGUGGGCAACCUGCCCUCAGCUCUGGGAUAACUCCAAGAAAUUGGGGCUAAUACCGGAUAUGACCGCUGACCGCAUGGUCUGGUGGCGGAAAGAUUUAUCGGCUGGGGAUGGGCCCGCGGCCUAUCAGCUUGUUGGUGGGGUAGUGGCCUACCAAGGCGACGACGGGUAGCCGGCCUGAGAGGGUGACCGGCCACACUGGGACUGAGACACGGCCCAGACUCCUACGGGAGGCAGCAGUGGGGAAUAUUGCGCAAUGGGCGAAAGCCUGACGCAGCGACGCCGCGUGGGGGAUGACGGCCUUCGGGUUGUAAACCUCUUUCAGCAGGGACGAAGCGAAAGUGACGGUACCUGCAGAAGAAGCACCGGCCAACUACGUG
This 465-nucleotide ribosomal RNA is filed under the name uncultured bacterium. RNAcentral describes it as "partial 16S ribosomal RNA". It matches the Rfam family "Bacterial small subunit ribosomal RNA", at positions 28 to 507 of the family's 1533-position model. The record is from RNAcentral.